Molecule: ribosomal RNA, 496 nt
Filed under: uncultured bacterium
Lineage: Bacteria
Description: partial 16S ribosomal RNA
Rfam family: Bacterial small subunit ribosomal RNA
Source: RNAcentral
AUGAACGCUGGCGGCGCGCCUCAUACAUGCCAGUCGAGCGCACGGACGAGAAGCUUGCUUCUCUGAUGUUAGCGGCGGACGGGUGAGUAACACGUGGAUAACCUACCUAUAAGACUGGGAUAACUUCGGGAAACCGGAGCUAAUACCGGAUAAUAUUUUGAACCGCAUGGUUCAAAAGUGAAAGACGGUCUUGCUGUCACUUAUAGAUGGAUCCGCGCUGCAUUAGCUAGUUGGUAAGGUAACGGCUUACCAAGGCAACGAUGCAUAGCCGACCUGAGAGGGUGAUCGGCCACACUGGAACUGAGACACGGUCCAGACUCCUACGGGAGGCAGCAGUAGGGAAUCUUCCGCAAUGGGCGAAAGCCUGACGGAGCAACGCCGCGUGAGUGAUGAAGGUCCUCGGAUCGUAAAACUCUGUUAUUAGGGAAGAACAUAUGUGUAAGUAACUGUGCACAUCUUGACGGUACCUAAUCAGAAAGCCACGGCUAACUACGUG